GAAGAGAGAGAGAGAGAAAAUCUAGCCGUUGAAUCUUGAUACUUGUCAUAUAACACGUUUCCCUAUUCCACCUUGCCACCGACGAACGCAAAAACGAAAAUUAGCUCUCGCCCCUAAUAACAUUCCUAUAAUUUCUUUUAAAGUUUAAAUCCUCUGUUCGUUUCUUGGGAAAACGAGAAGCAAGACUCGAAAGGAAAACACGAGCCAAGAAAGAUUACUGUUUGAUAGUAUAUUGUGCGUGGGCCUCAAUCGAAAGUUGGCCGUUCUUAUAGAUGCGUACGGAUGUCGUCGAUGUUUCCUAUCUGCGCUGACUUACUAAGGGAAUGAUUUUGCUUCAAAUAGAGAUGUUCUUUGAAGGUUAAAGAUAGAAGAAGAGAGGUGUGAAAUGAGGAGAAACUUAUUUCAAGAAGCAAAUCAAAACCAAAGGCCACAUAUACGGAAAAGGAAGGAGGAAGGGAAUCACCAAGGAAAAAUGUGCUAUUGUUUGAGUGAGGAGAUUAUCUAGUUCUGCAUUAUCAUAUACUACGUCAAAACUCAAAAGUGAACCUUAAAUGUGUUCUUGUAUAAUCUUUAGUUCGAAGCUGCUGCCUACGGAGUCCACCAUGGAUGGAUUUGGACAAAGUGUUCUCUUUGUAGUCGUCGAGAGUUUUACAUCAAAGUGGUGUUGAAGGAAGAUAACUCUGAUCUUCUCCAUAGGCGAUCCCAGCAUUUUCAUAUAUUUUCUUGGCCAUGUGAUGGAUGUGUAUCACAAUUCCAUUCGUUUGCCCCACCAG
This is a long non-coding RNA of Tripterygium wilfordii, 773 nucleotides long. RefSeq lists it as uncharacterized. NCBI's taxonomy places the organism in Eukaryota, Viridiplantae, Streptophyta, Magnoliopsida, Celastrales, Celastraceae. The record is from RefSeq and is a predicted model, not a curated record. The transcript is spliced from 6 exons.